Molecule: unclassified non-coding RNA, 236 nt
Filed under: Hevea brasiliensis (rubber tree)
Lineage: Eukaryota; Viridiplantae; Streptophyta; Magnoliopsida; Malpighiales; Euphorbiaceae
Source: RNAcentral
CGGGAAAUCGCCGGUGAUUUGAUGGAAUCGAUACUCUUUAGUGCUGUAGCUUUGGACAUUUCAUGGAGUUUAUUAUUUGCUGUAGUCUAUGUUCGGUCACUAGAUUUGAUAUUACUAAGCUCAGAUUCGCCGUCGUUGUUUUCGAGAUUGCACUGAUAUUUUUAUGCUUUCAAGCUGCUAAUGCGAACACCCAAGAGCACCCAACUCAAUGGCAAGGCCCUGAAAGAGGAGGUGGA